RNAcentral lists this ribosomal RNA (475 nucleotides) under uncultured bacterium. RNAcentral's name for it is "SSU rRNA". It matches the Rfam family "Bacterial small subunit ribosomal RNA", at positions 26 to 518 of the family's 1533-position model. The record is from RNAcentral.
AGGACGAACGCUGGCGGCGUGCUUAACACAUGCAAGUCGAGCGGUAAGGCCCUUCGGGGUACACGAGCGGCGAACGGGUGAGUAACACGUGAGCAAUCUGCCCUCCACAUCGGGAUAACCCCCGGAAACGGGAGCUAAUACCGGAUACGACCACUUCAGGCAUCUGAUGGUGGUGGAAAGUUCUGGCGGUGGAGGAUGAGCUCGCGGCCUAUCAGCUUGUUGGUGGGGUAAUGGCCCACCAAGGCUUCGACGGGUAGCCGGCCUGAGAGGGUGACCGGCCACACUGGGACUGAGACACGGCCCAGACUCCUACGGGAGGCAGCAGUGGGGAAUAUUGGACAAUGGGCGAAAGCCUGAUCCAGCAACGCCGCGUGAGGGAUGACGGCCUUCGGUUGUAAACCUCUUUCAGCGCAGACGAAGCGAAAGUGACGGUAUGCGCAGAAGAAGCACCGGCCAACUACGUGCCAGCAGCCGC